RNAcentral lists this ribosomal RNA (883 nucleotides) under Clarireedia homoeocarpa. RNAcentral describes it as "LSU rRNA". It matches the Rfam family "Eukaryotic large subunit ribosomal RNA", at positions 68 to 968 of the family's 3401-position model. The record is from RNAcentral. Lineage: Eukaryota; Fungi; Ascomycota; Leotiomycetes; Helotiales; Rutstroemiaceae.
ACAGGUAUGCCUCAGUAACGGCGAGUGAAGCGGCAAAAGCUCAAAUUUGAAAUCUGGCUCUUUCAGGGUUUUAGUUGUAAUUUGUAGAAGAUGCUUCGGGUGUGGUCCCGGUCUAAGUUCCUUGGAACAGGACGUCAUAGAGGGUGAGAAUCCCGUAUGUGACUGGGGUACCUACGCUCAUGUGAAGCUCUUUCGACGAGUCGAGUUGUUUGGGAAUGCAGCUCAAAAUGGGUGGUAAAUUUCAUCUAAAGCUAAAUAUUGGCCAGAGACCGAUAGCGCACAAGUAGAGUGAUCGAAAGAUGAAAAGCACUUUGGAAAGAGAGUUAAACAGUACGUGAAAUUGUUGAAAGGGAAGCGCUUGCAAUCAGACUUGCGCCUAGUUGAUCAUCCGGGCUUCUGCCCGGUGCACUCGAUUAGGCUCAGGCCAGCAUCGGUUUGGGUGGUUGGAUAAAGGCUUGGGGAACGUAGCCUCCUUCGGGGGGUGUUAUAGCCCCAGGUGCAAUGCAGCCUACCUGGACCGAGGACCGCGCUUCGGCUAGGAUGCUGGCGUAAUGGUUGUAAGCGACCCGUCUUGAAACACGGACCAAGGAGUCUAACAUUUAUGCGAGUGUUUGGGUGUUAAACCCAUACGCGUAAUGAAAGUGAACGGAGGUAAGAACCCUUAAGGGUGCAUUAUCGACCGAUCCUGAUGUCUUCGGAUGGAUUUGAGUAAGAGCAUAACUGUUGGGACCCGAAAGAUGGUGAUCUAUACGUGAAUAGGGUGAAGCCAGAGGAAACUCUGGUGGAGGCUCGCAGCGGUUCUGACGUGCAAAUCGAUCGUCAAAUUUGCGUAUAGGGGCGAAAGACUAAUCGAACCAUCUAGUAGCUGGUUCCUGCCGAAGUU